Molecule: ribosomal RNA, 3441 nt
Filed under: Triticum aestivum (bread wheat)
Lineage: Eukaryota; Viridiplantae; Streptophyta; Magnoliopsida; Poales; Poaceae
Description: partial small subunit ribosomal RNA
Source: RNAcentral
AUGAUGGCCAAAGGAUUUCUAGCCAAGAGUGAUAAUGCAGGGACAAAGAAAUCUCCCCUGCAAAUCCAGAUGCUAGAGAGUUUUUAUUCUGAGGUACAAUAUCCGAAGCCGGAGGAUCUGACAGAGUAUGCGGCAUCUGUUGGUUUGACUUACAACCAGGUCAGAAUAUGGUUCAAAGAGCGGAGGCGGAAAGAGAGGAGACACAUGGAAGCUGCAGAGGUUCAUGUGGAAACACAAGCUAGUGCAAGAUCAAAUUGGCCUAGAUGUAGCAGCAGCAGGUCUUCCAAUUCAAGCCAAUCUCCAAUGCAAGGUAUUGCGGGUUUGCAGCCCGAGGAUGACAUUACUCUUGGUAGGAGUAUGAGCCUUGUAGGAGAGAAACACACACUUCGAUCACAAGUCCUAUUUCCGAAGGAUUAUAUUCUGAGGAAAGUCUUCCGCAAGGAUGGUCCAUCUCUUGGGGGUGAUCCCGAUCUCCUUCCUGAAAGGGCACAUGUCCAUGUCAGGGUUGCAGAUACCACAGGACAUCAUUCCUACCAGGAUCAAAGCGUUUUGAAGAAGAGAAAGAUCAUGUCGCCUACUGCUCAGAGAUCCACUUUGCCAUUUGAGAAUAAUGAUCCUGUGAGGAAGCAUGGAAAGGGCAAAGGUUUAAUGACAGUGUGGCAUGCAAUGUAUUCCCAAACUGCAGAAAUUCAAGAUUGCUCCAGUUUCAUUGAUGAAAGUGGUUGCUUGAGGUCAUUGAGACCAUUCGAAGAUUUUGGUGGAAAGCUUGCCCAAAAACAAACUGUGCCACGAAAGAAAGUAAACAAAAAGAGUAGACCUCCACCGAGUAAAAGAAAGGUGCCAUGUGGCAGAGUUACUGAUUUGAAGGAGCAUCCUCCAGUGGAGUGCCAUCUUUCAGUUGAUGAAUCAGAAUCCUCAGAACUACGAACUGAACAGGCUACUUUAGUUGAUGAUGAGGAGCUUGAGCUCAGUGAGUUACAAGCAGGUCCUAAUCCGUUAAGAUGUUCAGCUCAUAUUUCUUCAACUGGGAGACAUGGGUGCCCCCUUUGUAAAGAUUUACUUGCCAGGUUUCCUCCACCAAGUGUCAGGAUGAAACAACCAUUUCCCACAAAACCUUGGGAGUCAUCACCUGAAAUGGUUGUCCGGUUUGUCUACACACAUUUUGGUAGUAUGGAUGUUCAUCCCUUUACGUUUGAUGAGUUUGCACAAGCAUUCCAUGACAAGGACUCCUCGUUGUUGGGGAAAGUACAUGUCAGUCUUCUCAAGCUACUUAUGUUAAACACAGAAAGGGGCAGCGGCAGUGUGUUUGUACCAAGAUCGUCUAAAGAUAGCAGAUUCUCAAGCUUUCUGAACUUUGUUAGAGAACAAGAAUUCGAUGUGAAUUUUUGGAUCAAAUCCCUGAAUUCUCUUACUUGGGUUGAAAUACUACGCCAGGUUCUGGUUGCUUCAGGUUUUGGUUCAGAUCAUCAUAUGCUGAAUCGGAAUUUCUUUAACAAGGAGAAAAAUCAAAUGGUUAAAUAUGGGUUACGUCCUCGUACACUGAAAGGUGAAUUGUUUACACUAUUGUCUAAGAAAGGAAGCGGUGGGUUAAAGGUUGCUGAACUUGCCAAAUCACCACAGAUUAUUGGUCUUAAUCUCUCUGGCGCAUCAGAAGUAGAGCAGCUUAUUUUCUCAACUCUCUCUAGUGACAUCACAUUGUUUGAGAAGAUUGCGCCUUCUGCAUAUCGUCUCCGUGUUGAUCCUCGGAUUAAAGGAAAAGAAGAUCCUAGAUCAGAUACCGAGGAUUCUGGAACUGUUGAUGAUGAUGGGGAUGCUAGCAGCAGUGGUGAUGAAUCUGAUGGUCCACAAGAGAGUUAUCCUGAGCAUGAAAGUAGAAUUGUCAGGUGGAGACAGAAAAACGUACAUAAAAAUAUGAAUAAAUGCAGUGAAAUUGAUGAAAGUUAUUCCGGAGAACGAUGGCUUCUGGGGUUGAUGGAAGGCGAGUACUCAGACCUAAGCAUCGAUGAGAAGCUGGAUUGCUUGGUUGCUUUGAUAGAUGUUGUUUCUGGUGCUGGUUCUGUUCCAAGGCUUGAGGAACCACAAAGUGUCCUGUCUAACAUACAGAGAGCACAGUCGCAUGCCUCAGGUGGGAAGAUAAAGAAGUGUACAAGAACCAUUUAUCAAUCUAGUGAUGAGUACUUAAAUAGACCAGGAAGCUCGCACAGUUUUGAUUCUUCUAUGCAAGGACAGUCAGGAACCCUGAGGAGUCAGGAUUACAUUGCCGACUCUGGAGCUAACGAAUCACCCACAGGAUUUGCACAUCAGCCACAAAUUGUUCUCUUAGGAUCAGAUCGCAGAUAUAACAAUUACUGGCUCUUCCUUGGUCCUUGUAGAGCAGAUGAUCCAGGGCACCGUAGGGUUUACUUUGAGUCCUCAGAAGAUGGUCACUGGGAAGUGAUAGAUUCACCACAGGAUUUACUCUCGCUGUUGUCUGUCCUAGACAUCAGAGGCACCAGGGAAGCUUAUCUUCUUGCAUCAAUGAAAAAGAGGCAAUCAUGUCUUUUUGAAGGCAUGAAAAAACACUUGGAAGAUGGGUGUGUAGUUGCGCUCACAGCAUCAUCUGAUUCUUCUCGUUCCGAGACAAGCAGUGGAAACAGAUAUUCACCCAAGCCAAGUAGUGGAGAUGGAGCUUCACCCCUAUCAGACAUUGACAGUGCUUCUGUUCCAACAUAUCUAGCUGGUAAUCUUCAAAAUGCAUCAUCUGCAAUAGGAAUUGAAGUUGGGAGGAGAAGUGAUGAGAAGAUGUUGAAGUGGGAAAGGUUGCAAGCGUUGGAUAAAUGGAUCUGGACUUCUUUUUAUUCUUCCCUCACUGCUGUUAAGUGUGGGAAGAGAUCAUUUAAGGAAUCACUUGUUCAUUGUGAAAGUUGUCAUGAUCUGUAUUGGAGAGAUGAAAAACAUUGCAGAAUAUGCCACUCUACUUUUGAGGUUGGUUUUGAUCUUGAAGAAAGAUAUGCUAUACAUGUGGCAACAUGCAGGGAGCCUGAGGAUUUGUACGAUGUGCCAAAUCAUAAAGUUCUUCCUUCGCAGCUACAGGCACUUAAAGCAGCCAUUCAUGCUAUUGAGGCACGCAUGCCUACGGCAGCUUUCGCUGGUUUGUGGAUGAAGUCUUCGCACAACCUGUGGGUUAAGCGGCUGCGACGAACAUCAUCAUUACCCGAGCUUUUGCAGGUUCUUGUUGAUUUUGUUGGGGCAAUUGAUGAGGAUUGGUUGUACCAAAGCUCAUCAGCAGUAAGCUUUAGUUCAUAUCUGGAUGACAUUACUGUAUACUUCCAAACGAUGCCACAAACGACGUCUGCAGUUGCACUCUGGGUUGUCAAAUUGGAUGCUCUCAUUGCACCUGAUUUGGCACAAGCUGAUUCUUGCAGAGGAUUAGGCAAAGGGUCCAUACAGACAAGAGCGUAG